This 75-nucleotide transfer RNA is filed under the name Candidatus Peregrinibacteria bacterium. Its description in RNAcentral is "tRNA-Asn". It matches the Rfam family "tRNA". Rfam says of the family: Transfer RNA (tRNA) molecules are approximately 80 nucleotides in length. Their secondary structure includes four short double-helical elements and three loops (D, anti-codon, and T loops). Further hydrogen bonds mediate the characteristic L-shaped molecular structure. tRNAs have two regions of fundamental functional importance: the anti-codon, which is responsible for specific mRNA codon recognition, and the 3' end, to which the tRNAs corresponding amino acid is attached (by aminoacyl-tRNA synthetases). tRNAs cope with the degeneracy of the genetic code in two manners: having more than one tRNA (with a specific anti-codon) for a particular amino acid; and 'wobble' base-pairing, i.e. permitting non-standard base-pairing at the 3rd anti-codon position. The record is from RNAcentral. Lineage: Bacteria; Candidatus Peregrinibacteriota.
UCCCGGGUAGCUCAGUGGUAGAGCAUCUCGCUGUUAACGAGAGGGUCGUCGGUUCGAAACCGACCCCGGGAGCCA